Non-coding RNA from Gossypium hirsutum (cotton), 106 nucleotides. Lineage: Eukaryota; Viridiplantae; Streptophyta; Magnoliopsida; Malvales; Malvaceae. The record is from Rfam.
AACCCAUGGUGAGGGCAUCUUCUCAAUAAAUCCUUAUACUCUCCCAUGCAUCAUAUAAGGUCUCUAAAUCCAUUUGCAUGAAGGAAGAGAUAUCAAUCCUCAACUU